UUCAGCAGUGCUGGCCACAAAGGAGGGAGCAGAAGCACAAGGCCAGAGCCUCCCCAUCCCAUCUGGGUCACCUCUUCCUCCAGCAUCCCACAGCAAGGCGGUGAAGGGAACCAGUCCAGGCCUUGUGCAAAGGCAGCUGGGCCAAACCACAAAACCUGGAGAGAUCCACAGAGCACCAGUCCCUGCCACCCACCUAAAAGGGACAAAGGGGAAGUCGGCAAAGGACAGCAAGCAUUGGAUCAGAGGAGUCAACCCAGGCAUAUGCUCAGGACAACCCCAGUGUCCUUUACAGUAACAACAAAACCCAGCCCAGGGCCACACACCUGGGAUUGGAGCUGUCACAUCUGCUUAGUCACCAGACGCCCUGAACAAGGUCCUCCAACAGAACUGCCUGGAU
Cavia porcellus (domestic guinea pig) is the source of this 397-nucleotide long non-coding RNA. RefSeq lists it as uncharacterized. NCBI's taxonomy places the organism in Eukaryota, Metazoa, Chordata, Mammalia, Rodentia, Caviidae. The record is from RefSeq and is a predicted model, not a curated record. The transcript is spliced from 3 exons.